AAGGACCCCAAAAACAUUUUGCCCUUUAUAAGGGAGGCCAGAAUCUUUUGAAAUACAUUCCUGCUUCUUCACCUAGCAACGCUUUGGACCUUAGCUUCGACAGACCCACCACACGAAGCAAGAUGAACCGCCUGUUUGGAAUGGACCUUCUUGUGCUGGCCGCAAUCGCAAUUGGUUUACUCCUCAUGGCUCCGAAUGAAGCUCUCGCUAGCCUCGGGGGAGGUGUCGGAGCAGGCGCUGCCAAGAAGUGAAUUUUUUGCCUCCUGCGACUAGCCACUCCAUCGUUGUCAUCGUCUAGAUGACGGGCUCGCCUGCAAUAAAAUGCCUCGUGAAAGGAUCGUGUGCAAACAUACUUCAUUCAUAUUAAAGUACUACUGGUUA
Dermacentor albipictus is the source of this 381-nucleotide non-coding RNA. The record is from RefSeq and is a predicted model, not a curated record. NCBI's taxonomy places the organism in Eukaryota, Metazoa, Arthropoda, Arachnida, Ixodida, Ixodidae.